RNAcentral lists this ribosomal RNA (449 nucleotides) under uncultured bacterium. RNAcentral describes it as "partial 16S ribosomal RNA". It matches the Rfam family "Bacterial small subunit ribosomal RNA", at positions 29 to 523 of the family's 1533-position model. The record is from RNAcentral.
AACGAACGCUGGCGGCAUGCCUAACACAUGCAAGUCGAACGAAGCCUUCGGGCUUAGUGGCGCACGGGUGCGUAACGCGUGGGAAUCUGCCCUUUGGUUCGGAAUAACAGUUGGAAACGACUGCUAAUACCGGAUGAUGACGAAAGUCCAAAGAUUUAUCGCCAGAGGAUGAGCCCGCGUAGGAUUAGCUAGUUGGUGUGGUAAAGGCGCACCAAGGCGACGACCCUUAGCUGGUCUGAGAGGAUGAUCAGCCACACUGGGACUGGGACACGGCCCGGACUCCUACGGGAGGCAGCGGUGGGGAAUAUUGGACAAUGGGCGAAAGCCUGAUCCAGCAAUGCCGCGUGAGUGAUGAAGGCCCUAGGGUUGUAAAGCUCUUUUACCCGGGAUGAUAAUGACAGUACCGGGAGAAUAAGCCCCGGCUAACUCCGUGCCAGCCGCCGCCGUAA